GCAGCCGCGGUAAUACGUAGGUGGCAAGCGUUGUCCGGAAUUAUUGGGCGUAAAGCGCGCGCAGGUGGUUCCUUAAGUCUGAUGUGAAAGCCCACGGCUCAACCGUGGAAGGUCAUUGGAAACUGGGGAACUUGAGUGCAGAAGAGGAAAGUGGAAUUCCAAGUGUAGCGGUGAAAUGCGUAGAUAUUUGGAGGAACACCAGUGGCGAAGGCGACUUUCUGGUCUGUAACUGACACUGAGGCGCGAAAGCGUGGGGAGCAAACAGGAUUAGAUACCCC
RNAcentral lists this ribosomal RNA (278 nucleotides) under uncultured bacterium. Its description in RNAcentral is "partial 16S ribosomal RNA". It matches the Rfam family "Bacterial small subunit ribosomal RNA", at positions 511 to 788 of the family's 1533-position model. The record is from RNAcentral.